This 913-nucleotide long non-coding RNA is filed under the name Bos indicus x Bos taurus (hybrid cattle). Its description in RNAcentral is "lncRNA (ENSBIXG00005029655.1)". The record is from RNAcentral. Lineage: Eukaryota; Metazoa; Chordata; Mammalia; Artiodactyla; Bovidae.
GGCUGGGAGCAGAAGGGCAGAGUGUGUUCCCCCAGAUGGUCCCCAGGCCCCGGCGAGCCCCGUAAGAGCAUCUGGGGACAAGGCCAGGGUGCGAGUUGUGGGCCCACCAGCCGCGGGCUCUGCCCACCAAAGACUGGCCUGUGUCCUGGGUCCCAGUCAGCACUCUCACCUUGGCUCUGCCUGACCAGGUGGAAUCUUUGGCUCAUUUAUGCUCACAGCAGGGUUACUCGCUCACAGACUGAAGUUCAGAGAGGCCUCUGGCACAGCUGCGGGGGCAGCAGCCACGGAACAAGUCUGGCUCCAGGCCUGGCACCUCAACCACCAGCCUCCCCCUCCUCUUCCCCUUCUCACCUGAAGCCAAGCCCCGCUCUCCACCCUCUCUCCACAGGGGCUGGGAAACGCUUCCCGGACGGGCCAUGCUCGGCAGGUUACUACUGUCCCCCUGGCCAGACCUCAGCCACCCCUUCAUCUUUCCGGUGCCCUCCCGGCUUCUCCUGUCCAGAAGGUUCUCCCCAGCCGAGGGCCUGUGAGAAUGGAACAUUCCAGCCCCGGGAGGCCCAGGGGUCCUGUGAGCCCUGUCCUGCUGGGUUCUACUGCCAGGCCUCAGGCACAGGUCCCUCUGCCAGAGCCCCCAAACCAUGCAUCCAGGGUUACUUCUGCCCCCCCGGCUCCCACUCAGCCACUGCCCACCCGUGCCCUAGAGGGACCUUCGGGCCCAGGCAAGGGGCCGCUGCAGAGCUGGACUGUGAGUUGUGCCCAGCAGGUUGGUGAACUCUGGACAGGAGCCCUCAGGAAGCCUGACUAAGAGGCUGGGAGAGAACAGGAAGAGUAGAAAAGGCAGCAGGAAGUUCCUGAGAGUAAGGGCCUGGCCCCUGGCCGUUGUCAGGGCAGCACCUGGAAAGUCCAGGUCCAC